AUGAACCUGCAACAAGUCACUGAAGAUAGUUCCAUAAACACAUGCGCUCCAGCGAUAACCAUUGGUUUCGCGCAGUUCGCUACUGACCACUUGUAUAAUCAAGAGGAGAAGAUCACCACGACGUCAUGGACGGAGGCGGUGAGCCCCAUGUCGGAGACGGCCCGUCCGAACCCGACGAGCCGCUGCUCCCCCCGCCGCCCGAGCCCGAGGUCGAGCUCCAGGCCCAUGAAGCGCCGGUCGUCUCCUCCGUCGUCCUCCUCCAGGAACCUGGUCCCGCAGAAGACGGACACGACCAGGAAGCUGUGCGCCACGGCGGUGCGGAGCUUGCGGAUGUCGACGGGCUCCGGCCGCGCGGCGGCUUCCGGCGGGGAGAGGCGGAUGGCGCAGGAGUGCGCGCAGGCGAGCAUGAGCGCCUGGAGGUGGGCCGGGUCGACGAGGGCCGGGUCCAUGGAGAUGGAGAUCGGCGGGGGCCUGAGCCUGGGCCUGGCGACGCGCUUGUUGGGGCCGAAGGGGCUCGGUGUCGGCGAGGAGAAGACCGCAAGCGUGGUGAGACGGGGCGGAAGCCUGUUCACGCCGGCGGCCAUGGGGAGGGUGACGAGUGAGUGGUCGUGGUCUCGUGGAAGUGGAGCUCUGCGGGUGGGCGCCAAUGGAGGUUGGUGA
Molecule: ribosomal RNA, 660 nt
Filed under: Triticum aestivum (bread wheat)
Lineage: Eukaryota; Viridiplantae; Streptophyta; Magnoliopsida; Poales; Poaceae
Description: partial small subunit ribosomal RNA
Source: RNAcentral